RNAcentral lists this ribosomal RNA (596 nucleotides) under Saccharomyces cerevisiae (brewer's yeast). RNAcentral describes it as "partial large subunit ribosomal RNA". It matches the Rfam family "Eukaryotic large subunit ribosomal RNA", at positions 46 to 656 of the family's 3401-position model. Lineage: Eukaryota; Fungi; Ascomycota; Saccharomycetes; Saccharomycetales; Saccharomycetaceae. The record is from RNAcentral.
CAAAACGGAGGAAAAGAAACCAACCGGGAUUGCCUUAGUAACGGCGAGUGAAGCGGCAAAAGCUCAAAUUUGAAAUCUGGUACCUUCGGUGCCCGAGUUGUAAUUUGGAGAGGGCAACUUUGGGGCCGUUCCUUGUCUAUGUUCCUUGGAACAGGACGUCAUAGAGGGUGAGAAUCCCGUGUGGCGAGGAGUGCGGUUCUUUGUAAAGUGCCUUCGAAGAGUCGAGUUGUUUGGGAAUGCAGCUCUAAGUGGGUGGUAAAUUCCAUCUAAAGCUAAAUAUUGGCGAGAGACCGAUAGCGAACAAGUACAGUGAUGGAAAGAUGAAAAGAACUUUGAAAAGAGAGUGAAAAAGUACGUGAAAUUGUUGAAAGGGAAGGGCAUUUGAUCAGACAUGGUGUUUUGUGCCCUCUGCUCCUUGUGGGUAGGGGAAUCUCGCAUUUCACUGGGCCAGCAUCAGUUUUGGUGGCAGGAUAAAUCCAUAGGAAUGUAGCUUGCCUCGGUAAGUAUUAUAGCCUGUGGGAAUACUGCCAGCUGGGACUGAGGACUGCGACGUAAGUCAAGGAUGCUGGCAUAAUGGUUAUAUGCCGCCCGUCUUG